Non-coding RNA from Salmo salar (Atlantic salmon), 58 nucleotides. Lineage: Eukaryota; Metazoa; Chordata; Actinopteri; Salmoniformes; Salmonidae. The record is from Rfam.
UAGCUCAGUUGGUAGAGCAUGGUGUUUGCAACACCAGGGUUGCGGGUUUGAUUCCCAC